Bradysia coprophila is the source of this 487-nucleotide long non-coding RNA. The record is from RefSeq and is a predicted model, not a curated record. Lineage: Eukaryota; Metazoa; Arthropoda; Insecta; Diptera; Sciaridae.
UCACUGUAAUCGGAAUGACUUGUCAAAUAUUGGAUCCAACCAUUGUCGCUAAUUUUACUUGUCGGUCAAAAAACUUGAACCACACCACGAACAUUAAGUCUUACGAAACUAUAUACCAGCCUGGUGUUAUAUUAAAUGAUUACCACAUAAAGGUGCAAGUAUACCGAAAAUUUGCAACGUCCUAUCGGCCAUUUUUGGUAACUCUCGAUCAGGACUGGUGUGCCUUAUUAAACGAUGAAAACUCAGUACUAUUCCACGUGUUAAACAUUAAAUACCGGCGAAAAUUCGGAAAUGCAUACGAUCCCUGUCCGAUGACGGGAAGACGAUAUCAAGAAGCAUAUGUUACGGAAUACGAAACAUUUCCUGAUAUACUACCGGAUGGUGAAUAUCGGUUGGAAGCUAUCGCGUAUUCUGUAAUUAGAGGAAGAAAGAGAAAUCUACUUCGUGUCGUUACAAUGGGAGUCAUAAGUCCGAAAACAGCAGAACA